GAAACGACUGCUAAGACUGGAUAGGAAAUAAAAAGGCAUCUUUUUAUUUUUAAAAGACCUUUUUCGGAAGGUAUGCUUAAAGAGGGGCUUGCGUCACAUUAGUUAGUUGGCAGGGUAAAGGCCUACCAAGACUAUGAUGUGUAGCUGGACUGAGAGGUUGAACAGCCACAUUGGGACUGAGACACGGCCCAAACUCCUACGGGAGGCAGCAGUAGGGAAUUUUCGGCAAUGGAGGAAACUCUGACCGAGCAACGCCGCGUGAACGAUGAAGUAUUUCGGUAUGUAAAGUUCUUUUAUUGAAGAAGAAAAAAUAGUGGAAAAACUAUCUUGACGAUAUUCAAUGAAUAAGCCCCGGCAAACUAUGUGCCAGCAGCCGCGGUAAUACAUAGGGGGCGAGCGUUAUCCGGAAUUAUUGGGCGUAAAGGGUGCGUAGGCGGUUUAAUAAGUCUAUAGUUUAAUUUCAGUGCUUAACACUGUCCUGCUAUAGAAACUAUUAGACUAGAGUGAGAUAGAGGCAAGUGGAAUUCCAUGUGUAGCGGUAAAAUGCGUAAAUAUAUGGAGGAACACCAGAGGCGUAGGCGGCUUGCUGGGUCUUUACUGACGCUGAGGCACGAAAGCGUGGGGAGCAAACAGGAUUAGAUACCCUGGUAGUCCACGCCGUAAACGAUGAGUACUAAGUGUCGGGAUUACUCGGUACUGAAGUUAACACAUUAAGUACUCCGCCUGAGUAGUACGUACGCAAGUAUGAAACUUAAAGGAAUUGACGGGACUCCGCACAAGCGGUGGAUCAUGUUGUUUAAUUCGAAGAUACACGAAAAACCUUACCAGGUCUUGACAUACUCUGCAAAGCUAUAGCAAUAUAGUGGAGGUUAUCAGGGAUACAGGUGGUGCAUGGUUGUCGUCAGCUCGUGUCGUGAGAUGUUAGGUUAAGUCCUAAAACGAGCGCAACCCUUGUCAUUAGUUGCCAGCAUGUCAUGAUGGGCACUUUAAUGAGACUGCCAAUGAAAAAUUGGAGGAAGGUGAGGAUCACGUCAAAUCAUCAUGCCCCUUAUGAUCUGGGCUACAAACGUGAUACAAUGGCUGUUACAAAGAGUAGCUGAAACGCAAGUUUAUAGCCAAUCUCAUAAAAGCAGUCUCAGUUCGGAUUGAAGUCUGCAACUCGACUUCAUGAAGUUGGAAUCGCUAGUAAUCGCGAAUCAGCAUGUCGCGGUGAAUACGUGCACGGGGUUUGUACACACCGCCCGUCA
This 1247-nucleotide ribosomal RNA is filed under the name Sugarcane whiteleaf phytoplasma. RNAcentral's name for it is "bacterial SSU rRNA". It matches the Rfam family "Bacterial small subunit ribosomal RNA", at positions 153 to 1399 of the family's 1533-position model. The record is from RNAcentral. Lineage: Bacteria; Bacillati; Mycoplasmatota; Mollicutes; Acholeplasmatales; Acholeplasmataceae.